GACGUUAGCGACAGAAGAAAGCACCGGCUAACUACCGUGCCAGCAGCCGCGGUAAGUACGGAGGGUGCGAGCGUUAAUCGGAAUUACUGGGCGUAAAGACGCAUGCAGGUGGUUUGUUUAAGUCAGAUGUGAAAGACCCGGGGCCGUCAACCUACCGGAAUUGCAUUUGUAAACUAGGCAGACUAGAGUACUGUAGAGGGGGGUAGGAAUUUCUAGGUGUAGCGGUGAAAUAGCGUAGAGAUCUGAAGGAAUACCGGUGGCGAAGGCGGCCCCCCUCGGACAGAUACUGACACUCAGAUGCGAAAGCGUGGGGAGCAAACAGGAUUAGAUACCCCUGGUAG
This 341-nucleotide ribosomal RNA is filed under the name uncultured bacterium. RNAcentral describes it as "bacterial SSU rRNA". It matches the Rfam family "Bacterial small subunit ribosomal RNA", at positions 471 to 793 of the family's 1533-position model. The record is from RNAcentral.